UCACCACCACCAGCAGCAGAACAAAUGGAAAUUAUUAAUAGAACUUGGUGUUAUAAUGACAUGAUAUGAACAUGAUCAUAACACAAAGGCAUGGUUAUGUAGUCAUCAUAAGAUCACCAUAACAUCAGCAUAAUAUCAACAUGAUAAGUUGACCAUAAUAUGGUUAAUUACAACACAGAUCAUCCAUCCUGUGGGAAAAGGAUCCGUUUGUUAUGAACAUCUUCUCAGUUGUUUCUCUUGACUUGAGUAAAUUAUGACUCAUUUGUGAGUGUCGUUUUUUGCCAUGCUGUCUUUCUCCUCGACUAAUUAUUGCAAUGACGAACAUGAACUAUUGUGAAUAUUUAUCAUUGUCAACUGUGACAAGUCAAAUGAUCACGUUCAAUGUUUUUUUCUUGAUUGAGCCUAUUGUAUAUAAACCGAAGCUGUCCAACAAUAUUUGCCACUUGUUAACCGAAGCUGCGUCAGUCGAUAUUACGAUUUGUGAAAAAAAUGUUUCAUAUCAUUUUUGUUGUAUUUCAUCAUCAAAUCAUCAUCAUACAAUGAAUGAAUUAUAAUUUUUUUCUGGUUAAACAUAAUUCCGUCUUGUGAUUAAGUUCUGUGUAUUAAUUGGUGUCGUGAAAGAUGAACUGGUCUGGAAUGUUGUAUAAUAAUGCCUAAGCAUACGUCCUUUAUGUGUUAAAAUCAUUGCGAUUCUGAACAUGUUUCUUUCGUGCACAAUUUUACUGUGAAUAAUUUUUGCAAUAAACUAUAGUGUGGCACCACCACUGUUGCCAGUCAUGGGCAUUUGUGUCUGGUUGACUAUGAAUGUGUUUUGAUAAUAAUAUUUGUAUAUAAAGUCUUAAAAACGAUAAUAAAGUUUUGUCAUUGUUAUUUUGCUUUCAAACCGUGCUCUAUUUGUUACUAUAGUCAGAUUUGUUGUUUUUCCACAAUUGGUGUUUGUCAAGUGUUAGUUCAUCAGGAUAUUAAAGUGACUGAAUUUUAUGAAACAAUUUCAUUCGAAAAUUCUGUGUUGUGCUGUGCUUAGUGAAGUGUUGUGUUUCAUCAUCAUCGUUGUGUCCAUCUUGUUCAUCUGAAUAUCAUCAUCUUUAUUAAUCAAUAACCAGACAUAUUUUAGUGAAUUGACGCAACAAGUUUCAUAAUGAAUUUCGUGUUGUGAUUCAGUGCUGUGAUUAAUUGGUGUUUGUGAAGUGUUUCAUUGGUGUCAUCUUUAUCAAUUAGUGAAUUUCGUGUUGUGCAUAGUGCUGUGCAGUAAUUUAUUGGUGUUAGUGAAGUGUUUUUUUGGAUUCAACUCGUCUCUAAUUCCAUAUGUGGUUUGCUAUCAACUUGAUAUUCAUCAGACAACGUAUCAACAAGUGUCAAAUUGUUUUCUGUGUGUUGAUUAGAUUGUGAUUAUUUAAUUUGUGUUUUGUGUUGUGUUAUGUGUUCAUCUAGAAUUCAUCUUUAUAUCGUCAAUUCAACUCAGCUAUCUGCUCGACAUUUAACAUUGUCAUCUUGAUCGACUCGACGUACCCGGACAACUGCAU
Molecule: non-coding RNA, 1523 nt
Organism: Dermatophagoides farinae (American house dust mite)
Lineage: Eukaryota; Metazoa; Arthropoda; Arachnida; Sarcoptiformes; Pyroglyphidae
Source: RefSeq, a predicted model, not a curated record